Long non-coding RNA from Diachasma alloeum, 511 nucleotides. RefSeq lists it as uncharacterized. The record is from RefSeq and is a predicted model, not a curated record. NCBI's taxonomy places the organism in Eukaryota, Metazoa, Arthropoda, Insecta, Hymenoptera, Braconidae. The transcript has 4 exons.
GUAUUCUUCGUGCGAAAAUGUCACGAGUUUUUGAAGAGUAUGCUGUCACAUGGGAAGAAUCUAGUUGCUUCCCGUUUUCUCGAUAUUACACGUGUUUGUUAACUUCUUCCUAUUUUCUUGACAGUUUCUUCGAUAGCUCUCUCGCAGUUGAAGAAAACAUGGUCGGUGAUUCUCAAACGAAUUUUGGGACUGAAAGUCAAGCCGGAGUAUACGUCAAAGAAAAUUCUACCACCGGAGGGAAUUGCAAGGACCAUGGGCCAUAAUCGUAACUGUUGUACCAAUAUAGGCGAAGUCAAAGCUCUCAUGAUGAACUGAGAAAAAAGACAAAAAUCAGUUCAAAUUUUGAAGGUCAGCUUGAUAAUUUAUGGUUGUAAGCAGUAUCUAUUGCUGUUUAUAGUGAUGAUGGGUGUAAAUCCAUGCAACUUGAAUAACUGUAACUGAAAUUAUCUAGUUGCAUUUCUGCUUAUUAUCAAUAUUCCAGUAUAAUGAGAUCUUGUAUUAGCAUGGGAAU